GAGGGGGCGGUCCAACCAGCAAGAACUGCUAACUCUUGUAUCUGAGCUUUAAACCUCAGCUCCCUUA
Molecule: transfer RNA, 67 nt
Filed under: Rynchops niger (black skimmer)
Lineage: Eukaryota; Metazoa; Chordata; Aves; Charadriiformes; Laridae
Description: tRNA-Ser
Source: RNAcentral